AAUACGUAGGUGGCGAGCGUUAUUCGGAAUUAUUGGGCCUAGAGGGUUCGUAGGGGGUAAUGUAAGUCCGGUGUGAAAUCUCGAGGCUCAACCUCGAAACUGCAUUGGAAACUGCAUUACUUGAGUGUCAGAGAGGAAAGCGGAAUUCCUGGUGUAGCGGUGGAAUGCGUAGAUAUCAGGAAGAACACCGACGGCGAAGGCAGCUUUCUGGCUGGCAACUGACCCUGAUGAACGAAAGCUAGGGUAGCGAACAGGAUUAGAUACCCUGGUAGUCCUAGCUGUAAACGUUGUGCACUGGAUGUGGGCGGAUUUGGUCCCGUCUGUGUCUGAGCGAAGGCGUUAAGUGCACCGCCUGGGGACUACGGCCGCAAGGCUAAAACUCAAAGGAAUUGACGGGGGCCCGCACAAGCGGUGGAGCAUGUGGCUCAAUUCGAGGCAACGCGAAGAACCUUACCUGGGUUUGACAUAUACCUGACCGCCGGUGAGAGCCGGUUUCUCUUUGAGCAGGUAUACAGGUGCUGCAUGGCUGUCGACAGCUCGUGCUGUGAAGUGUUCGGUUAAGUCCGGCAACGAGCGCAACCCACGCUGUUAGUUACCAUCAGGUAAUGCUGGGGACUCUAACAGGACUGCCCGUGCUAAGCGGGAGGAAGGCGUGGACGACGUCAAGUCCGCAUGGCCCUUACGCCCAGGGCUGCACACGUGCUACAAUGGCCGGUACAGAGGGUCGCCACUCUGCGAAGAGGAGCUAAUCCCGAAAACCGGCCUCAGUUCGGAUUGGAGUCUGCAACCCGACUCCAUGAAGUAGGAAUCGCU
This 813-nucleotide ribosomal RNA is filed under the name uncultured organism. Its description in RNAcentral is "bacterial SSU rRNA". It matches the Rfam family "Bacterial small subunit ribosomal RNA", at positions 522 to 1336 of the family's 1533-position model. The record is from RNAcentral.